GGAGAAAGCUUAGGGGAAGGGUUAAAGCAUGGUCAGGGCCUGAAACUGUGUCCAUCUUCAGCUCCUGGGGCCUGGCCAUACCAAAAUCAAAGGCAAGAAUGACAUCUGAGCAGCAAAGAAGCACAUCCAUUGAACAGACAAUAAAGCCACAGGAAAGAGAUUUAAUAAUCACUGAAACUCUGUGGGAUCAGGUGCUAUUGGCCUUUAAAGGAAUACAAAAAGAGCUUCAGGAAGAUGCUCGGAUUCGAGGCAUGAGCAACCGUUCUGUGGGAGUCACACCAUCUGUACCCCCCAGGACUGGGCACGAUCCUGCCUAAACCAAGAUCUGGAAAAGAAGCGUCAAGCCUCCAGAUCUCUCUACAGUCCCAAAUAAGGAUCACAGCUCAAAUUCUGGAGAGCAGUCAUCAGAAGCCCAUUCCUAGACCCCCAAGGAUGUAACCCCGUGACCAGCAAGCCUUCUACCCUAGACUCUAAACUUUGUCAUCAAGGAGUGUCUCCUGUGUUUCUUCCAGGACCCGGCUCAGUUGCCUGGUACUCAGAGGCUAUGACAUCAUCGUUGCCAGAAUCUUCCAGCAGCGAUUGUGAACUUGGACAUCAGCUGAGAGCCAGACACAUCCUGUCAAGCGAAGAAUCCAGCAGAUAAACAACGGAGGAAAUAAAUGUAAAACAAA
Long non-coding RNA from Grammomys surdaster, 671 nucleotides. RefSeq lists it as uncharacterized. The transcript is spliced from 10 exons. NCBI's taxonomy places the organism in Eukaryota, Metazoa, Chordata, Mammalia, Rodentia, Muridae. The record is from RefSeq and is a predicted model, not a curated record.